GCAUGGCUGUCGUCAGCUCGUGUCGUGAGAUGUUGGGGUAAGUCCCGCAACGAGCGCAACCCUUGUCCUUAGUUACCAGCGGUUUGGCCGGGAACUCUAAGGAUACUGCCAGUGACAAACUGGAGGAAGGCGGGGACGACGUCAAGUCAUCAUGGCCCUUACGACCAGGGCUACACACGUGCUACAAUGGUAGGUACAGAGGGCAGCUACACAGCGAUGUGAUGCGAAUCUCAAAAAGCCUAUCGUAGUCCAGAUUGGAGUCUGCAACUCGACUCCAUGAAGUAGGAAUCGCUAGUAAUCGCGGAUCAGAAUGCCGCGGUGAAUACGUUCCCGGGCCUUGUACACACCGCCCGUCAAGUCACGAAAGUUGGUAACACCCGAAGCCGAUGGCCUAACCACCUUGUGUGGAGGGAGUCGUCGAAGGUGGGACUG
RNAcentral lists this ribosomal RNA (432 nucleotides) under Conticribra weissflogii. RNAcentral describes it as "partial Bacterial small subunit ribosomal RNA". It matches the Rfam family "Bacterial small subunit ribosomal RNA", at positions 1043 to 1470 of the family's 1533-position model. The record is from RNAcentral. Lineage: Eukaryota; Bacillariophyta; Thalassiosirophyceae; Thalassiosirales; Thalassiosiraceae.